Molecule: ribosomal RNA, 2607 nt
Filed under: Cronobacter malonaticus
Lineage: Bacteria; Pseudomonadati; Pseudomonadota; Gammaproteobacteria; Enterobacterales; Enterobacteriaceae
Description: bacterial LSU rRNA
Rfam family: Bacterial large subunit ribosomal RNA
Source: RNAcentral
CGAACCGGGGGAACUGAAACAUCUAAGUACCCCGAGGAAAAGAAAUCAACCGAGAUUCCCCCAGUAGCGGCGAGCGAACGGGGAACAGCCCAGAGCCUGAAUCAGCUUGUGUGUCAGUGGAACGGUCUGGAAAGGCCGGCGAUACAGGGUGACAGCCCCGUACACGAAGGCACACAGGCUGUGAGCUCGAUGAGUAGGGCGGGACACGUGAUAUCCUGUCUGAAGAUGGGGGGACCAUCCUCCAAGGCUAAAUACUCCUGACUGACCGAUAGUGAACCAGUACCGUGAGGGAAAGGCGAAAAGAACCCCGGCGAGGGGAGUGAAACAGAACCUGAAACCGUGUACGUACAAGCAGUGGGAGCCUUCGUAAGAGGGUGACUGCGUACCUUUUGUAUAAUGGGUCAGCGACUUAUAUUCUGUAGCAAGGUUAACCGUAUAGGGGAGCCGAAGGGAAACCGAGUCUUAAUUGGGCGUUAAGUUGCAGGGUAUAGACCCGAAACCCGGUGAUCUAGCCAUGGGCAGGUUGAAGGUUGGGUAACACUAACUGGAGGACCGAACCGACUAAUGUUGAAAAAUUAGCGGAUGACCUGUGGCUGGGGGUGAAAGGCCAAUCAAACCGGGAGAUAGCUGGUUCUCCCCGAAAGCUAUUUAGGUAGCGCCUCGUGAAUUCAUCUCCGGGGGUAGAGCACUGUUUCGGCUAGGGGGCCAUCCCGGCUUACCAACCCGAUGCAAACUGCGAAUACCGGAGAAUGUUAUCACGGGAGACACACGGCGGGUGCUAACGUCCGUCGUGAAGAGGGAAACAACCCAGACCGCCAGCUAAGGUCCCAAAGUCAUGGUUAAGUGGGAAACGAUGUGGGAAGGCCCAGACAGCCAGGAUGUUGGCUUAGAAGCAGCCAUCAUUUAAAGAAAGCGUAAUAGCUCACUGGUCGAGUCGGCCUGCGCGGAAGAUGUAACGGGGCUAAACCAUGCACCGAAGCUGCGGCAGCGACGCUUAGGCGUUGUUGGGUAGGGGAGCGUUCUGUAAGCCUGCGAAGGUGUGCUGUGAGGCAUGCUGGAGGUAUCAGAAGUGCGAAUGCUGACAUAAGUAACGAUAAAGCGGGUGAAAAGCCCGCUCGCCGGAAGACCAAGGGUUCCUGUCCAACGUUAAUCGGGGCAGGGUGAGUCGACCCCUAAGGCGAGGCCGAAAGGCGUAGUCGAUGGGAAACAGGUUAAUAUUCCUGUACUUGGUGUUACUGCGAAGGGGGGACGGAGAAGGCUAUGUCAGCCGGGCGACGGUCGUCCCGGUUUAAGCGUGUAGGCUGACUUUCCAGGCAAAUCCGGAAAGUUAAGGCUGAGGCGUGAUGACGAGGCACCACGGUGCUGAAGUGACAAAUGCCCUGCUUCCAGGAAAAGCCUCUAAGCAUCAGGUAACAUCAAAUCGUACCCCAAACCGACACAGGUGGUCAGGUAGAGAAUACCAAGGCGCUUGAGAGAACUCGGGUGAAGGAACUAGGCAAAAUGGUGCCGUAACUUCGGGAGAAGGCACGCUGACAUGUAGGUGAAGCCCCUGCGGGUGGAGCUGAAGUCAGUCGAAGAUACCAGCUGGCUGCAACUGUUUAUUAAAAACACAGCACUGUGCAAACACGAAAGUGGACGUAUACGGUGUGACGCCUGCCCGGUGCCGGAAGGUUAAUUGAUGGGGUUAUCGCAAGAGAAGCUCCUGAUCGAAGCCCCGGUAAACGGCGGCCGUAACUAUAACGGUCCUAAGGUAGCGAAAUUCCUUGUCGGGUAAGUUCCGACCUGCACGAAUGGCGUAAUGAUGGCCAGGCUGUCUCCACCCGAGACUCAGUGAAAUUGAACUCGCUGUGAAGAUGCAGUGUACCCGCGGCAAGACGGAAAGACCCCGUGAACCUUUACUACAGCUUGACACUGAACAUUGAGCCUUGAUGUGUAGGAUAGGUGGGAGGCUUUGAAGCGUGGACGCCAGUCUGCGUGGAGCCAACCUUGAAAUACCACCCUUUAAUGUUUGAUGUUCUAACCUGGCGCCAUAAUCUGGCGUGGGGACAGUGUCUGGUGGGUAGUUUGACUGGGGCGGUCUCCUCCCAAAGUGUAACGGAGGAGCACGAAGGUCAGCUAAUCCUGGUCGGACAUCAGGAGGUUAGUGCAAUGGCAUAAGCUGGCUUGACUGCGAGAGUGACGGCUCGAGCAGGUGCGAAAGCAGGUCAUAGUGAUCCGGUGGUUCUGUAUGGAAGGGCCAUCGCUCAACGGAUAAAAGGUACUCCGGGGAUAACAGGCUGAUACCGCCCAAGAGUUCAUAUCGACGGCGGUGUUUGGCACCUCGAUGUCGGCUCAUCACAUCCUGGGGCUGAAGUAGGUCCCAAGGGUAUGGCUGUUCGCCAUUUAAAGUGGUACGCGAGCUGGGUUUAGAACGUCGUGAGACAGUUCGGUCCCUAUCUGCCGUGGGCGCUGGAGAAUUGAGGGGGGCUGCUCCCAGUACGAGAGGACCGGAGUGGACGCAUCACUGGUGUUCGGGUUGUCAUGCCAAUGGCACUGCCCGGUAGCUAAAUGCGGAAGAGAUAAGUGCUGAAAGCAUCUAAGCACGAAACUUGCCCCGAGAUGAGUUCU